AUGACGGGUGUGCUGAAGAGAGACCACUGGCCUUGUGGGAUUGGCUGUAUGCGAGAGUCCACAGGAGAGGCUAAGAAUAUUGUAUACAAAGAUUUUUUUAUGUUCUUGAGCAAAUCCCUAAAAAUGUAGCAUAUAGAAAGUAUACAGAACAGAUUACAAAUGAGACACUGGCUAUGGUUAAAGCAGAACCAGAUGUUAAAAAAUUAGAAGACAAGACCAACUUCAAGGUGGUCAAAUAGAAGAGGCGAUUCUGCAGGCUAAAAAUGAACUAAGUCUGGCAAGAAAAAUGAUGCAGUGGAAACCAUGGGAGAGACUCCUGCCAAUCAGUGGAAAUGGCCAAUAUAA
RNAcentral lists this long non-coding RNA (345 nucleotides) under Homo sapiens (human). RNAcentral's name for it is "non-protein coding lnc-RPS6-2:1". The record is from RNAcentral. Lineage: Eukaryota; Metazoa; Chordata; Mammalia; Primates; Hominidae.